Procambarus clarkii (red swamp crayfish) is the source of this 661-nucleotide long non-coding RNA. RefSeq lists it as uncharacterized. The record is from RefSeq and is a predicted model, not a curated record. Lineage: Eukaryota; Metazoa; Arthropoda; Malacostraca; Decapoda; Cambaridae.
UAGGGAAGCGAUCCACGACACAUAUAUAUAAGCCCUCCUCCUCCUCCUCCUCAUCACUACCACAGCUCAUGUCCCCACUGUGAAGUGUUCGUUUACAGUCUGUCAACAUGAGAGUUUUGUCGCUGUUGUUUGUUUUGGUGGCAGCCCUGGCCGCCCUGAUGGGGUCAACCAGUGCUCUGCCUGACCCCAACGCCCUGGCCGACCCUAACCCCGGCCCUGACCCACAGUUUGGAUUUGGUCGUCGCAGAUUUGGUCGUCGUAGAUUUGGUCGUCGUAGAUUUGGUCGUAGCUCUGAUUAAUCAAGAGUGGGCUCUCUACGACCUUCUCUCAAGUGAGAGGGUCAUUGUUUCCUUGAUGGAAAACAACGACCUAAUAGUUUAAGUGAAGUGAAUAGAAUAAGUGUAAUGAAUUAUUGAAGAAAGUAUUGACUCCUGCAGCCCCUGGAUGUUAUUGAUAUGCCGCGAGUUAUUGACUGAAAAAUACUGUUAUUUUGUUGAAUUCCACUAAGCUACUGGGGCCAGUCCAACACCUCAAUGCAUGGGGCUUCAUCCUCCCGAACCUCUAUCGACCAGACCUUCAACCUUCAGCACUACCUCGUCAUAUCCUUAAACUUCCAGGAACUCUUUACUUCCAGAGUAUAUAAAUAAAUAAAUAAAUACCA